CCUACGGAGGCAGCAGUGGGGAAUAUUGGACAAUGGGCGAAAGCCUGAUCCAGCGACGCCGCGUGGGUGAAGAAGGCCUGCGGGUUGUAAAGCCCUUUCGGUGGGGAAGAAAAGCCUCGACCUAAUACGUCGGGGUCUUGACGUAACCCACAGAAGAAGCACCGGCUAACUCUGUGCCAGCAGCCGCGGUAAU
This 193-nucleotide ribosomal RNA is filed under the name uncultured bacterium. RNAcentral's name for it is "partial 16S ribosomal RNA". It matches the Rfam family "Bacterial small subunit ribosomal RNA", at positions 338 to 524 of the family's 1533-position model. The record is from RNAcentral.